CAGCCGCCGCGGUAAUACCCGCAGCCCGAGUGGUGGUCGACUUUAUUGAGUCUAAAACGUUCGUAGCCGGUUCGCUAAAUCCUUGGGUAAAUCGGAAAGCUUAACUUUCCGAAUUCCGAGGAGACUGGCGAACUUGGGACCGGGAGAGGCAAGAGGUACUUGGGGGGUAGGGGUAAAAUCCUGUAAUCCUCCAAGGACCACCGGUGGCGAAGGCGUCUUGCUAGAACGGAUCCGACGGUGAGGGACGAAGCCCUGGGUCGCAAACGGGAUUAGAUACCCCGGUAGUCCAGGGUGUAAACGCUGCAGACUUGGUGUUGGGGACCCUUCGGGGGUGUUCAGUGCCGGAGAGAAGUUGUUAAGUCUGCUACUUGGGGAGUACGUCCGCAAGGAUGAAACUUAAAGGAAUUGGCGGGGGAGCACCGCAACGGGAGGAACGUGCGGUUUAAUUGGAUUCAACACCGGAAAACUCACCAGCAAAGACUGUUACAUGAAACUCAGGCCGAUGACCUUAGUAGAUUUUCAGAGAGGUGGUGCAUGGCC
Molecule: ribosomal RNA, 540 nt
Filed under: uncultured archaeon
Lineage: Archaea
Description: bacterial SSU rRNA
Rfam family: Archaeal small subunit ribosomal RNA
Source: RNAcentral